CCUACGGGUGGCUGCAGUGGGGAAUAUUGGACAAUGGGCGAAAGCCUGAUCCAGCCAUGCCGCGUGUGUGAAGAAGGCCUUCGGGUUGUAAAGCACUUUCAGUGGGGAAGAAAGCCUUGGGGCUAAUACCCUCGAGGAAGGACAUCACCCACAGAAGAAGCACCGGCUAACUCCGUGCCAGCAGCCGCGGUAAUACGGAGGGUGCGAGCGUUAAUCGGAAUUACUGGGCGUAAAGCGCGCGUAGGCGGUCUGAUAAGCCGGUUGUGAAAGCCCCUGGCUCAACCUGGGAACGGCAUCCGGAACUGUCAGGCUAGAGUGCAGGAGAGGAAGGUAGAAUUCCCGGUGUAGCGGUGAAAUGCGUAGAGAUCGGGAGGAAUACCAGUGGCGAAGGCGGCCUUCUGGACUGACACUGACGCUGAGGUGCGAAAGCGUGGGUAGCAAACAGGAUUAGAUACCCCUGUAGUC
Molecule: ribosomal RNA, 465 nt
Filed under: Vreelandella stevensii
Lineage: Bacteria; Pseudomonadati; Pseudomonadota; Gammaproteobacteria; Oceanospirillales; Halomonadaceae
Description: partial 16S ribosomal RNA
Rfam family: Bacterial small subunit ribosomal RNA
Source: RNAcentral